CACGUAGGGCGCAAGCGUUGUCCGGAAUUAUUGGGCGUAAAGAGCUCGUAGGCGGUCUGUUGCGUCCGCUGUGAAAACUCGGGCUUAACCCCGAGCCUGCAGUGGGUACGGGCAGACUAGAGUGCGGUAGGGGAGAUUGGAAUUCCUGGUGUAGCGGUGGAAUGCGCAGAUAUCAGGAGGAACACCGAGUGGCGAAGGCAGAUCUCUGGGCCGUAACUGACGCUGAGGAGCGAAAGCAUGGGGAGCGAACAGG
Molecule: ribosomal RNA, 253 nt
Filed under: uncultured bacterium
Lineage: Bacteria
Description: partial 16S ribosomal RNA
Rfam family: Bacterial small subunit ribosomal RNA
Source: RNAcentral